CAGGAUCGCUGAAAAGCGUUUCUCUACACCAUUGUGAACCUACCUAUCGUCGUGCUUCGGCGGGCGAAAGCCCCAUUCGUGGUGUUUUCCUCUGGCCCUCUACGGGGUGCUCGCCGCAGUGCAAAAACUUUUCAGACCCUAUAAUAUCAUUGUGGAACUUCUGAUAGACACUAAAGAAACUAUAA
Molecule: unclassified non-coding RNA, 185 nt
Filed under: uncultured fungus
Lineage: Eukaryota; Fungi
Description: sequence contains ITS1
Source: RNAcentral